This 539-nucleotide ribosomal RNA is filed under the name uncultured fungus. RNAcentral describes it as "eukaryotic LSU rRNA". The stretch from base 191 to 344 matches the Rfam family "5.8S ribosomal RNA". The record is from RNAcentral. Lineage: Eukaryota; Fungi.
CGUAACAAGGUCUCCGUUGGUGAACCAGCGGANGNAUCAUUACCGAGUUUACAACUCCCAAACCCCUGUGAACAUACCAAUUGUUGCCUCGGCGGAUCAGCCCGCUCCCGGUAAAACGGGACGGCCCGCCAGAGGACCCCUAAACUCCGUUUCUAUAUGUAACUUCUGAGUAAAACCAUAAAUAAAUCAAAACUUUCAACAACGGAUCUCUUGGUUCUGGCGUCGAUGAAGAACGCAGCAAAAUGCGAUAAGUAAUGUGAAUUGCAGAAUUCAGUGAAUCAUCGAAUCUUUGAACGCACAUUGCGCCCGCCAGUAUUCUGGCGGGCAUGCCUGUUCGAGCGUCAUUUCAACCCUCAAGCCCAGCUUGGUGUUGGGACUCGCGAGUCAAAUCGCGUUCCCCAAAUUGAUUGGCGGUCACGUCGAGCUUCCAUAGCGUAGUAGUAAAACCCUCGUUACUGGUAAUCGUCGCGGCCACGCCGUUAAACCCCAACUUCUGAAUGUUGACCUCGGAUCAGGUAGGAAUACCCGCUGAACUUAAG